CACCGUAGCCUCCUCUUCCCUUGUUGUCAGUAUGGCUUACCCGGACCCGCAGCCCAGGUUCGGACAGUCUGUGAAGGGAUUGCUGUCCGAGAAAGUGAGCGCCUGCAGCGGCGAUGUGAUUGCGCUCACUCGACAAGUGCUGAAAGGCUCCCGCAGCCAAGAGUUUCUUGGACAGGCAGCCCGGAAUAUGGUUAUGCAAGAGGAUGCUAUACUACACUCUGAAGAUAGUCUAAGAAAAAUGGCAAUUAUAACAACCCAUUUACAGUACCAACAAGAAGCCAUUCAGAAAAAGUAGGUCUAAACAUCCGUCUUGUAUACGAACCCUCAUGCAUAUUUUUGGUUUGGAAAAAUGUCAAACGUUGGACACUCAAAAAACCUUCAGGAUCAGUUGAAGCACUUGCUGAAGUAAGCUUCGUUGUGCUGUGGAGAGGCACAGCCCAAGAAGAACAUGCUGAUUGUGGGGAAUCGCAGAUGAGCAGUUUUCUCUUCCUUUUCACAUUCUUCCACAGUGCCUUCAUCAGUGACAUUGUUAGAAUGUGCUCGCUCCUGUACAGGUGUGUCAUUUUGAUUGGAGCUGGACUGAUUAUUGGCUGUCUGGUGCAUGGACAGGUAACUUGUUAUGCAGUCAUUGCCAGUUAACAAACAUAUUGUUUUAAGCUGUUUGAAUGAAAUGUUUCACUCACUUAAUAAAAUCAUUAUAAAAUGA
Molecule: RNA transcript, 706 nt
Organism: Polyodon spathula (Mississippi paddlefish)
Lineage: Eukaryota; Metazoa; Chordata; Actinopteri; Acipenseriformes; Polyodontidae
Gene name: BLOC-1-related complex subunit 7-like
Exons: 5
Source: RefSeq, a predicted model, not a curated record